UGGGGAUGGAGUGACGGAUUUGAAUACAUUCCUGGAUCUCCUCUCUGGGACAAGAACAGACCUGUCAGCUCAUCCAACCAGUGUGCUGCGCUUUGCAAUGUACAGAAUCCAUCAGCUUCUACCAGGUGGAUGCAAUAUAGUUGCUCCGGCACCUAUCCAUACCUGUGCAAGUACCGAGCGGCAUACUAGGCCUGUGAUGGGCCUUCAGCUGAAAUGGCCGACAAAGGUUUGAGCAACAAAUGGGGCAUGAAGAGAGGACAUCCCUUGAACCAGCGGAAGAAGGCUGCACCCAGCAAGGCACCACAUUCCCCAAAGGCUCCAGCAUCAAGGAGAGACCUGGAACUUCUCCCAUUCCUGGUGGUCUCUUUCAAAUCCCAGAUGCUUUGUUCUUUUCUUCUCAUUGGCUGCCCAAUGUCUGUACCUUUCCCUUCUUUUGAUUCCUCCCAUUCUGUAAUCCCAGUUUGCUCCAUAAAACCUGCUCAAAGAAGGUGAAUCCAAACCUUCUUUUCCUUCCAUGGCGAAAAGCGUUCCUCUUCAGAGCCACCUCCUUGCUUGGGCAUUGAACAAACCUCAGGGCUCAGAAUGAAGCUCUUCUAAUGAAGGACAUCUUCCUUGGCUGAGUCUAUUCAUUUCCAUGAGAUGAGAAUAAAGCAAAUGAAGCACAUGGGUGGGUUAGGGUGUUGGUUCUGUCAGUUUUUUUGUCUUCUCUGAUGUUCCUCUUCUCCUGAGAUAACAAUAAAUUCUUUUU
Anolis carolinensis (green anole) is the source of this 748-nucleotide long non-coding RNA. RefSeq lists it as uncharacterized. Lineage: Eukaryota; Metazoa; Chordata; Lepidosauria; Squamata; Anolidae. The transcript is spliced from 3 exons. The record is from RefSeq and is a predicted model, not a curated record.